GACGAACGCUGGCGGCGUGCCUAAUACAUGCAAGUAGAACGCUGAAGGAGGAGCUUGCUUCUCUGGAUGAGUUGCGAACGGGUGAGUAACGCGUAGGUAACCUGCCUGGUAGCGGGGGAUAACUAUUGGAAACGAUAGCUAAUACCGCAUAAGAGUAGAUGUUGCAUGACAUUUGCUUAAAAGGUGCAAUUGCAUCACUACCAGAUGGACCUGCGUUGUAUUAGCUAGUUGGUGGGGUAACGGCUCACCAAGGCGACGAUACAUAGCCGACCUGAGAGGGUGGUCGGCCACACUGGGACUGGGACACGGCCCAGGCUCCUACGGGAGGCAGCAGUAGGGAAUCUUCGGCAAUGGACGGAAGUCUGACCGAGCAACGCCGCGUGGGUGGAGAAAGUUUUCGGAUCGGAAAGCUCUGUUGUAAGGGAAGAACGAGUGUGAGAGUGGAAAGUUCACACUGUGACGGUAUCUUACCAGAAAGGGACGGCUAACUACGUG
This 495-nucleotide ribosomal RNA is filed under the name uncultured bacterium. Its description in RNAcentral is "partial 16S ribosomal RNA". It matches the Rfam family "Bacterial small subunit ribosomal RNA", at positions 28 to 507 of the family's 1533-position model. The record is from RNAcentral.